Molecule: ribosomal RNA, 492 nt
Filed under: uncultured bacterium
Lineage: Bacteria
Description: partial 16S ribosomal RNA
Rfam family: Bacterial small subunit ribosomal RNA
Source: RNAcentral
AGUGAACGCUGGCGGUAGGCCUAACACAUGCAAGUCGAACGGCAGCACAGUAAGAGCUUGCUCUUACGGGUGGCGAGUGGCGGACGGGUGAGGAAUACAUCGGAAUCUACUUUUUCGUGGGGGAUAACGUAGGGAAACUUACGCUAAUACCGCAUACGACCUACGGGUGAAAGCAGGGGAUCUUCGGACCUUGCGCGAUUGAAUGAGCCGAUGUCGGAUUAGCUAGUUGGCGGGGUAAAGGCCCACCAAGGCAACGAUCCGUAGCUGGUCUGAGAGGAUGAUGGGCGAGCAGGGAAGUGAGACACGGUACAGGCUCCGACGGGGGGCAGCAGUAGGGAAGCGGCUGCAAUGGGCGAAAGCGUGACGGAGCAACGCCGAGUGAGUGAUGAAGGACUUCGGAUCGUAAAACUCGGUUAGUAGGGAAGAAAAAAUGUGUAAGCAACUAUGCACGUCUUGACGGUACCGAAACAGAAAGCCACGGCUAACUACGUG